GCCCCCGUAGCCCAAUCGGCAGAGGCGGGCGACUUAAAAUCGCUGCAGUGUGGGUUCGAGUCCCACCGGGGGCA
This is a transfer RNA of 74 nucleotides. It matches the Rfam family "tRNA". From Rfam's summary of the family: Transfer RNA (tRNA) molecules are approximately 80 nucleotides in length. Their secondary structure includes four short double-helical elements and three loops (D, anti-codon, and T loops). The record is from Rfam.